GAUGAACGCUGGCGGCGUGCUUAACACAUGCAAGUCGAACGAUGAAGCCCAGCUUUCUGGGUGUCUGGGUGGCUAACGGAUGAGUAACACACAAGUAAGCUGCCCUUCACGCAGUGAUAAGCAUGCGAAACUGGGGCUAAUUCCGGAUAGGAACGCCUAGCGCGGGGAGGGUGUUGGCAAGGUAUGUCGGUUGUGGAUGGACUCGCGGCCUAUCAGCUUGUUGGUGAGGUAAGGGCUCACCAAGGCGACGACGGGUAGCCGGCCUGAGAGGGUGACCGGCCACACUGGGACUGAGACACGGCCCAGACUCCUACGGGAGGCAGCAGUGGGGAAUAUUGCACAAUGGGCGCAAGCCUGAUGCAGCGACGCCGCGUGAGGGAUGACGGCCUUCGGGUUGUAAACCUCUUUCAGCAGGGAAGAAGCGAAAGUGACGGUACCUGCAGAAGAAGCACCGGCUAACUACGUG
Molecule: ribosomal RNA, 466 nt
Filed under: uncultured bacterium
Lineage: Bacteria
Description: partial 16S ribosomal RNA
Rfam family: Bacterial small subunit ribosomal RNA
Source: RNAcentral